GCGGGGCAAGAACACAGGGAUUGCCCUAGUAACGGCGAGUGAAGCGGCAACAGCUCAAAUUUGAAAUCUGGCCUCGGCCCGAGUUGUAAUUUGCAGAGGAUGCUUCUGGCGCGGUGCCUUCCGAGUUCCCUGGAACGGGACGCCACAGAGGGUGAGAGCCCCGUAUGGUCGGACACCAAGCCUGUGUGAAGCUCCUUCGACGAGUCGAGUAGUUUGGGAAUGCUGCUCUAAAUGGGAGGUAAAUCUCUUCUAAAGCUAAAUACCGGCCAGAGACCGAUAGCGCACAAGUAGAGUGAUCGAAAGAUGAAAAGCACCUUGAAAAGGGGGUUAAAUAGUACGUGAAAUUGUUGAAAGGGAAGCACUUAUGACCAGACUUGGGCCGGGCGGCUCAUCAGGGGUUCUCCCCUGUGCACUCCGCCCGGCACAGGCCAGCAUCGGUUUUCGCGGGGGGAUAAGACCGGCGGGAACGUAGCACCCUCCGGGGUGUGUUAUAGCCCGUCGGACGAUACCCUCGCGGGGACCGAGGUCCGCGCUCCGCAAGGAUGCUGGCGUAAUGGUCAUCAGUGACCCGUCUUGAAACACGGACCAAGGAGUCGUCCAUUAGAGCGAGCGUUUGGGUGCAAAACCCGCACGCGUAAUGAAAGUGAACGCAGGUGAGAGCUUCGGCGCAUCAUCGACCGAUCCUGAUGUUCUCGGAAGGAUUUGAGUAAGAGUUUUAACGGACGGACCCGAAAGACAGUGAACUAUGCUUGUAUAGGGUGAAGCCAGAGGAAACUCUGGUGGAGGCUCGCAGCGGUUCUGACGUGCAAAUCGAUCGUCUAAUAUGAGCAGGGGCGGGGGAGGAUAAAUGUUGGUUUCUUUUCGUCCGGUUAGGGAAAG
Molecule: ribosomal RNA, 879 nt
Filed under: Diaporthe arezzoensis
Lineage: Eukaryota; Fungi; Ascomycota; Sordariomycetes; Diaporthales; Diaporthaceae
Description: Diaporthe sp. WJL-2020a partial large subunit ribosomal RNA
Rfam family: Eukaryotic large subunit ribosomal RNA
Source: RNAcentral